UUAUUUUUCAUUAUAUCACUUAUCUGCUUCUAUUUUUCCUUCUUUACGAUACUCAGCUUAUGCUCUUGCACCAAAAAAUCUUCAAUCAUAUAACUUUGUCAGCCUUUGCUGUCCUAUCGUGUUCUUCCCCCCAGUAUCAAAUGCAUGCAACGAUCAGAAGGUACUUUACUCCAAACAUACCUAUUCGCUUCCUCCUGUCUGUGCGUCCUAUUACUAAUAGAUAUGUUCUUGUGCCUUGUGAUUGAUUUGUGUAAUAAUGCAAGUCGGUGAAAACUGUGGACAGUUGUUUCUUUGACUAUUAACAUAAUUGAGGAGAGGUUUUAUUUCUUUUUUUAUACUCAUGUCAAGAUUGCAGUUUAUGCAUGCUGUAUCAGUCUUGUGGGGUUCUAAGCUUUGUCCUCCAAAGAUUCACUCUUAAUUCCAAGUCAGGAUCGACCAAUGUCCUUAUAUUACCAAAUUAUACAAAAACAUUCACAAAUGAUGUAUAUAAUUGCACCUUCUAGUGAAUUAUGCUAGCUGCAUCUGUAACAGGCAUAAACAGAGUUAGCAUGGCUAGAGACAACACUCUGAGUAGAGCCCCACACACAAAACUAGUCUUUCUUGUUGCAACUUCAAAUAUGUGAUAGAUUCCCUGCACAUCCUUGAUUAUUUGGUAUGCUUCUUAUAAAAUCCUUCUUAACUCCCAUAUAUAACAAAACCUUUCCUCCAAGUGACUUAUAACUUCUUCCAUUAGUUAUCUAAGAAACAAAAUAUCAUCAUGGUUCACUUUUUGACCAUGCAUAAAGCCAAUGACUCGCAAAUAUUGUUGUUGGUAUUUCAUAACGAAUAUAAUCAUAUAUGCUUCAAAUUGCUGUUCAUUUAAUAUGGAAGAUUUAAGUAUAUAUCAAGUGUUUUCAUCAUGGCACUUCCCAUUCUUGGGUCGCCUUAAUUAGAUGUUUCUUUCCCUAAUCCGUGAUGCCUUUUUCAUAGCAUUUUAAAUUGCCACAGAAGUGCAACACAUUGACAUGGCACUACUAUUGUAUCCCUUUCCAUUAAGAAGUAAUUAGAGGAUAAUUAGACCAAUAAGCAGGGAAAAUUCUAAACUAUGGGAAAUUUUUUAGUUUCACCUAAGGGUAAUUGUAAAAUUCACAAAGAUGUGAAUUGUGAAAUCGUUUCUGCUAGCUUUCUCUGGCACCAAAACAAAGGCUACGAAAAAGUAGCAUCUCUCUUCAAAGGGAGUAGAGUCCACAAAAGGCUGCACCUUUUCACCAAAUGCUGGGGCCUGGGAUCAGAAGUGAGCAGGAAAGUCUAAAUUGUCAUGACGUCCUUAAUAGAACACUGACUAUAUUGAGAUUGUCUUUGUAGCAGUUGAAAGAUGAUAAAAUAAACCAGGUUCAAGUGUUUCUAGGUGAAGGUGUAGACUACAGACCUUGGUGAACAACUCCUAUCUCAGAUGAUCUAUCAAUGUCAGACAUUAGCUCCGACCGGCUAUGAUGAAACUUCUUAAGCACUGUCACUACUUUCCAUAACUUGAAAUGAGAAACUAAUGCUGUAAGCAACUGCCAUUGUUUUCUCACAUCAAACUUUUCAUGAAAUGCAAUCGAUUGCUUUAGUAGAAUGGGGACCAUCUGGUAAACCUUUCUUGAUUGCACUUGGAUUUCAUUGCACGGCUGAUAAGACUUUUUUUGGCAUGAUGACCCUACGCAGUACAACCAAUGGCACUGUGGUUUUUGGGCUGAUUCGCAUCACGUUCAAGUUAUUAUGACUCUGAAGCUGUUGUUUCUUAUUAGUAGUGAUGUGAGCCAAAGGAAUAGUGAUUUGUACAGAUUGAAGUGUACAGAUUUUGGCUGCUAACGUCGGCAUGGGGCUGAUGCUCUCACUGAAACUCUAAGUCUUUGCAGCUGUACUCAUCCUUUCUGCAAUCAUUUUGUUCAACGGGCUUGCGUCGAUAAGUGGGUCGUGAUUUUGCAAUCAAGAAAUGGAUGCAUUCCACGUACCUCCUUCCUUUUAAGUGCUAAAUCUUUAUGCUAUUCCUGAUGAAUUGGAUGACAUAUGUUCAUCAGAUACGUGAUUUCAUUUUCUUUUACUAGUUAUUAACCAUUUUCUUGUUUCUUACUAGUUCAAAAUCUAAAGGCAAAAGGGGAUAGCCCAUCCAGAAAAAUGCAGUUGCAUUGGAAUUUGCG
RNAcentral lists this long non-coding RNA (2162 nucleotides) under Phoenix dactylifera (date palm). RNAcentral's name for it is "long non-coding RNA (PDAC_LNC007284)". Lineage: Eukaryota; Viridiplantae; Streptophyta; Magnoliopsida; Arecales; Arecaceae. The record is from RNAcentral.